GAUCCCAUCAGAACUCCGAAGUUAAGCGUGCUUGGGCUAGAGUAGUAUUAGGAUGGGUGACCCCCUGGGAAGUCUUCGUGUUGCACCC
Molecule: ribosomal RNA, 88 nt
Filed under: Valeriana pseudofficinalis
Lineage: Eukaryota; Viridiplantae; Streptophyta; Magnoliopsida; Dipsacales; Caprifoliaceae
Source: RNAcentral